AGUCCAACUCACAUGGUAACUCCUCUGCCAUGACUACAGCAAUAUUUUGCCAUUCAAUUUGUUCUUCUGCAACGAACUUGGAACGCAAAGCCUCUUGUGAGAAGAGUUGUCAGUUGAGCUACAGACCUACAACUUAUUAUUGGCCGCCACUUAAAUUUGUUCACAGGAACGGUAAUUACGUACGGCCAAUGAGUUGAAUCUAUUACAAGAACCAGAACUUGUUGAUCCGAUGAUCCAGACAUUUCCUCCAAGACACCACUCGGGUGUUAGAUGACCUCACAAUCCCCAAAGCCCUCGUGUCACGUUGUUAUCACUGGAAAUUGGACUCCAAGAAACGCAUACUUGAAGGCUUGUAGGGUUCCAGGCUACUUACGGUGUGAUAAACAAAUAUCAUCAAUGGUGGCGUUGGAUGUGUUGAGGGAUGGUCAAAUGAGGAUCGCCUUGGGUUCUACAAGAGGUGCUGAGAUCUACUUGGAGUUAGAUAUGGCGACAAACUCCACUACUAGAAUGAAUGUCGUUUGCAUAC
This is a long non-coding RNA of Populus euphratica (Euphrates poplar), 526 nucleotides long. RefSeq lists it as uncharacterized. NCBI's taxonomy places the organism in Eukaryota, Viridiplantae, Streptophyta, Magnoliopsida, Malpighiales, Salicaceae. The record is from RefSeq and is a predicted model, not a curated record. The transcript has 3 exons.